CAUGUAGGCGGUCUGCUAAGUUCGGAGUGACAGUCACCAGCUUAACUGGUGAAGUGCUUCGAAAACUGGCGGACUUGAGAGCGAAAGAGGGACAUGGAAUUCCGGGUGGAGCAGUGAAAUGCGUAGAGAUCCGGAGGAACACCAAAGGCGAAGGCAGUGUCCUGGCUCGUUUCUGACGCUGAGAUGCGAAAGCCAGGGGAGCGAACGGGAUUAGAUACCCCGGUAGUCCUGGCCGUAAACGAUGACCACCAGGCGUGGGAGGGAUCGACCCCUUCCGUGCCGUAGUCAACACAUUAAGUGGUCCGCCUGGGGAUACGGUCGCAAGACUAAA
Molecule: ribosomal RNA, 331 nt
Filed under: uncultured bacterium
Lineage: Bacteria
Description: bacterial SSU rRNA
Rfam family: Bacterial small subunit ribosomal RNA
Source: RNAcentral